Molecule: small nuclear RNA, 109 nt
Organism: Oryctolagus cuniculus (rabbit)
Lineage: Eukaryota; Metazoa; Chordata; Mammalia; Lagomorpha; Leporidae
Source: Ensembl
AUGCUCUUAGGUCUCCAGCAGCACAAAAACUAAAAUUGGAAUGAUACAGAGAUUAGAAUGGCCCCUGCACAAGGAAGACGUGCAAAUUUGUGAAGCGCUCCAUAUAAAA